This 415-nucleotide long non-coding RNA is filed under the name Nicotiana benthamiana. Its description in RNAcentral is "long non-coding RNA (NBEN_LNC017914)". The record is from RNAcentral. Lineage: Eukaryota; Viridiplantae; Streptophyta; Magnoliopsida; Solanales; Solanaceae.
ACUCAUUUAAACAAAACUCACUAGAGAGUAGUAUGGGAUAGGAAUGGACCUUGAUCUGUAGAAUGAAAUUUCGGAGUUCCAAAAUCGUUAUUUGGACAAAACACAGAAAAUCCGAGAUCUCAAAUAGCACCUCGUCGACUCGAAUCUGGAUGGGAACAGCAUGCCACGAACAGCUCGCAACGACCCCAAUUUAGACAAACUCCAUCGCUAAAGCCCCAAAAUCGAAAGAAGAAACAAAAAAUGAACUCUGAACUUUGUGGGAUCACCUUGCACUGACUAGGAGCCUUGAACGAGUAGAUGAAGUGAGGUGACUGAUUUGGCAGUUAUGGAGGAAUUUCGGUAAGUCUCCGCGGCUGGUCUUUAAAAGGGGGUGACGACUGGUGGGUGUGGAAGAUGACGACCUCAAAUCAAUUCC